Long non-coding RNA from Salvia miltiorrhiza (redroot sage), 1236 nucleotides. RefSeq lists it as uncharacterized. The transcript has 2 exons. The record is from RefSeq and is a predicted model, not a curated record. NCBI's taxonomy places the organism in Eukaryota, Viridiplantae, Streptophyta, Magnoliopsida, Lamiales, Lamiaceae.
CCCAAUUUUAAUUAAAGCCCAAUUUGAAUAAAUAACAUAGGCCCAAUGAAUUUAUUAAAGCCCAAGGGAGAAAUAAGUGAAAGAAGCCCAACUUUCUUCCUCCCCUCCCAAUCGGUCCUCUCUCUCUAUACUCUCAAAAUCGAUCUCUCUCUCUAUACUCUCAAAAUCAGCCGAGCUCUCCCUCACUUUCAGUUCAGUCGAGCUCUCUCCAAUGAGGGGCUUGCCGCCGCGGCUCCGAAAUCCGGCGAGUCGACAGCCGGACGAACCUUCUCCCCUCAUCUCACUUUCUCCUCAGUUCGCCAUAUCAGCCAGCCCUAACUCACGGUCCAAGCCAUCCUCCCUCUCUCGUCUCUCUUUUUCUCCAAGACAGGAGCGCCGCUUUCUUCUCUGGUCGCCUUCGCCACCGGCGAGGCCGGCGCCUUUCCUCCGGCAUCGGUACCAUUCUUCUUCCCUCUCCUCUCUUUUCUGAAUCAGCACAAGCUCAACACAAGGGCGAGCCCUAAUUUCUUCUCCAUUACAGACCAUGCCACCGCCACCCUGCAAUUUUCAGCGAGCGGUCGACUUUCCACUUCAUUCCUGACGCCGUGUCCUUCGUCCGCCUUAUCUUCUCUUUCACGCGCACACAAUCGAGGGGAAGGUUGAGCCCUAGUUCUUUAGGUUCAGGCGAAAUCGCCGUCGCCGCCUGGUCUCCUCCGGCGAGGCAGUUAAUUAGAGCAGGGCGGCGUCCGUUGCUCCCCCCCUUUUCACUCGCGUACACGAACGAGGGAAAGGCCAAACCUUCAGUCCUCUUAGCUCAGGCGAGAGAGUCACCGCCGUCUGCCCUCUGGUUCAACGGAACAGACAAGUCGCCCCCUUUUCGAUUUAUUGAAUCAGGAGGUACUAAAGAGGAAUGGAGGAAAUUCGAAUCAAGACUUACCUCUCAAGGUUUGGCAGCAGAAAUCAUCUUACUCUCUCUCAAAUCUGGUGUCUAAAAUCUGGUGUCUAAGGGAAUGAAUGAAGAGUGUUGUUGGCUGAUAUGUUUAUUUGAAGGAGUGCAUUAAUGGCUAUACUUGAGUAGUCUACUAAAAUGGCUGAUUUUGUUCCCACACGCAUGCCUUCCCUUUUCUUUUCUUGAUGUAGUAGGUAGGAAGUUUGGUUUGUUUUCUUGAUGUAGUAGGUAGGAAAUAGGGAUGUAGUGAAUAAUAAGUUGUAAAGUUGUGAUGUGAUGAAUAAAAUAAAUCAUUCUCUGUUGGUAAA